GACCACCUACGGGGCGCAGCAGUAGGGAAUCUUCCACAAUGGACGAAAGUCUGAUGGAGCAACGCCGCGUGAGUGAAGAAGGGUUUCGGCUCGUAAAGCUCUGUUGGUAGUGAAGAAAGAUAGAGGGAGUAACUGGCCUUUAUUUUACGGUUAUUACUUAGAAAGUCACGGCUAACUUCGUGCCAGCAGCCGCGGUAAUACGUAGGGGGCAAGCGUUGUCCGGAUUUAUUGGGCGUAAAGCGUGUGCAGGCGGGUCAAUAAGUC
This 264-nucleotide ribosomal RNA is filed under the name uncultured bacterium. Its description in RNAcentral is "partial 16S ribosomal RNA". It matches the Rfam family "Bacterial small subunit ribosomal RNA", at positions 333 to 589 of the family's 1533-position model. The record is from RNAcentral.